RNAcentral lists this ribosomal RNA (253 nucleotides) under uncultured bacterium. RNAcentral's name for it is "partial 16S ribosomal RNA". It matches the Rfam family "Bacterial small subunit ribosomal RNA", at positions 524 to 776 of the family's 1533-position model. The record is from RNAcentral.
UACGUAGGGUGCGAGCGUUGUCCGGAAUUAUUGGGCGUAAAGGGCUCGUAGGCGGUUUGUCGCGUCGGGAGUGAAAACACCGGGCUUAACUCGGUGCUUGCUUUCGAUACGGGCAGACUUGAGGCAUGCAGGGGAGAACGGAAUUCCUGGUGUAGCGGUGAAAUGCGCAGAUAUCAGGAAGAACACCCGUGGCGAAGGCGGUUCUCUGGGACGGUACUGACGCUGAGACGCGAAAGCGUGGGGAGCGAACAGG